GGGUUGUGAGGUUAAGCGACUAAGCGUACACGGUGGAUGCCCUGGCAGUCAGAGGCGAUGAAGGACGUGCUAAUCUGCGAUAAGCGUCGGUAAGGUGAUAUGAACCGUUAUAACCGGCGAUUUCCGAAUGGGGAAACCCAGUGUGAUUCGUCACACUAUCAUUAACUGAAUCCAUAGGUUAAUGAGGCGAACCGGGGAACUGAAACAUCUAAGUACCCCGAGGAAAAAAAUCAACCGAGAUUCCCCAGUAGCGGCGAGCGAACGGGGAGCAGCCCAGAGCCUGAAUCAGUGUGUGUGUUAGUGGAAGCGUCUGGAAAGGCGCGCGAUACAGGGUGACAGCCCCGUACACAAAAAUGCACAUACUGUGAGCUCGAUGAGUAGGGCGGGACACGUGGUAUCCUGUCUGAAUAUGGGGGGACCAUCCUCCAAGGCUAAAUACUCCUGACUGACCGAUAGUGAACCAGUACCGUGAGGGAAAGGCGAAAAGAACCCCGGCGAGGGGAGUGAAAAAGAACCUGAAACCGUGUACGUACAAGCAGUGGGAGCCUCUUUAUGGGGUGACUGCGUACCUUUUGUAUAAUGGGUCAGCGACUUAUAUUCUGUAGCAAGGUUAACCGAAUAGGGGAGCCGAAGGGAAACCGAGUCUUAACUGGGCGUUAAGUUGCAGGGUAUAGACCCGAAACCCGGUGAUCUAGCCAUGGGCAGGUUGAAGGUUGGGUAACACUAACUGGAGGACCGAACCGACUAAUGUUGAAAAAUUAGCGGAUGACUUGUGGCUGGGGUGAAAGGCCAAUCAAACCGGGAGAUAGCUGGUUCUCCCCGAAAGCUAUUUAGGUAGCGCCUCGUGAACUCAUCUCCGGGGGUAGAGCACUGUUUCGGCAAGGGGGUCAUCCCGACUUACCAACCCGAUGCAAACUGCGAAUACCGGAGAAUGUUAUCACGGGAGACACACGGCGGGUGCUAACGUCCGUCGUGAAGAGGGAAACAACCCAGACCGCCAGCUAAGGUCCCAAAGUCAUGGUUAAGUGGGAAACGAUGUGGGAAGGCCCAGACAGCCAGGAUGUUGGCUUAGAAGCAGCCAUCAUUUAAAGAAAGCGUAAUAGCUCACUGGUCGAGUCGGCCUGCGCGGAAGAUGUAACGGGGCUAAACCAUGCACCGAAGCUGCGGCAGCGACGCUGAUGCGUUGUUGGGUAGGGGAGCGUUCUGUAAGCCUGUGAAGGUGUGCUGUGAGGCAUGCUGGAGGUAUCAGAAGUGCGAAUGCUGACAUAAGUAACGAUAAAGCGGGUGAAAAGCCCGCUCGCCGGAAGACCAAGGGUUCCUGUCCAACGUUAAUCGGGGCAGGGUGAGUCGACCCCUAAGGCGAGGCCGAAAGGCGUAGUCGAUGGGAAACAGGUUAAUAUUCCUGUACUUGGUGUUACUGCGAAGGGGGGACGGAGAAGGCUAUGUUGGCCGGGCGACGGUUGUCCCGGUUUAAGCGUGUAGGCUGGUUUUCCAGGCAAAUCCGGAAAAUCAAGGCUGAGGCGUGAUGACGAGGCACUACGGUGCUGAAGCAACAAAUGCCCUGCUUCCAGGAAAAGCCUCUAAGCAUCAGGUAACAUCAAAUCGUACCCCAAACCGACACAGGUGGUCAGGUAGAGAAUACCAAGGCGCUUGAGAGAACUCGGGUGAAGGAACUAGGCAAAAUGGUGCCGUAACUUCGGGAGAAGGCACGCUGAUAUGUAGGUGAAGUCCCUCGCGGAUGGAGCUGAAAUCAGUCGAAGAUACCAGCUGGCUGCAACUGUUUAUUAAAAACACAGCACUGUGCAAACACGAAAGUGGACGUAUACGGUGUGACGCCUGCCCGGUGCCGGAAGGUUAAUUGAUGGGGUCAGCGCAAGCGAAGCUCUUGAUCGAAGCCCCGGUAAACGGCGGCCGUAACUAUAACGGUCCUAAGGUAGCGAAAUUCCUUGUCGGGUAAGUUCCGACCUGCACGAAUGGCGUAAUGAUGGCCAGGCUGUCUCCACCCGAGACUCAGUGAAAUUGAACUCGCUGUGAAGAUGCAGUGUACCCGCGGCAAGACGGAAAGACCCCGUGAACCUUUACUAUAGCUUGACACUGAACAUUGAGCCUUGAUGUGUAGGAUAGGUGGGAGGCUUAGAAGUGUGGACGCCAGUCUGCAUGGAGCCGACCUUGAAAUACCACCCUUUAAUGUUUGAUGUUCUAACGUUGACCCGUAAUCCGGGUUGCGGACAGUGUCUGGUGGGUAGUUUGACUGGGGCGGUCUCCUCCUAAAGAGUAACGGAGGAGCACGAAGGUUGGCUAAUCCCGGUCGGACAUCAGGAGGUUAGUGCAAUGGCAUAAGCCAGCUUGACUGCGAGCGUGACGGCGCGAGCAGGUGCGAAAGCAGGUCAUAGUGAUCCGGUGGUUCUGAAUGGAAGGGCCAUCGCUCAACGGAUAAAAGGUACUCCGGGGAUAACAGGCUGAUACCGCCCAAGAGUUCAUAUCGACGGCGGUGUUUGGCACCUCGAUGUCGGCUCAUCACAUCCUGGGGCUGAAGUAGGUCCCAAGGGUAUGGCUGUUCGCCAUUUAAAGUGGUACGCGAGCUGGGUUUAGAACGUCGUGAGACAGUUCGGUCCCUAUCUGCCGUGGGCGCUGGAGAACUGAGAACUGAGGGGGCUGCUCCUAGUACGAGAGGACCGGAGUGGACGCAUCACUGGUGUUCGGGUUGUCAUGCCAAUGGCACUGCCCGGUAGCUAAAUGCGGAAGAGAUAAGUGCUGAAAGCAUCUAAGCACGAAACUUGCCCCGAGAUGAGUUCUCCCUGACUCCUUGAGAGUCCUGAAGGAACGUUGAAGACGACGACGUUGAUAGGCCGGGUGUGUAAGCGCAGCGAUGCGUUGAGCUAACCGGUACUAAUGAACCGUGAGGCUUAACCUUACAACGCCGAAGCUGUU
RNAcentral lists this ribosomal RNA (2931 nucleotides) under Escherichia coli. RNAcentral's name for it is "bacterial LSU rRNA". It matches the Rfam family "Bacterial large subunit ribosomal RNA". Lineage: Bacteria; Pseudomonadati; Pseudomonadota; Gammaproteobacteria; Enterobacterales; Enterobacteriaceae. The record is from RNAcentral.